UUCCCUUCCACAGAACACUGUAG
Molecule: non-coding RNA, 23 nt
Filed under: Cricetulus griseus (Chinese hamster)
Lineage: Eukaryota; Metazoa; Chordata; Mammalia; Rodentia; Cricetidae
Source: RNAcentral